GAUGAACGCUGGCGGCGUGCCUAAUACAUGCAAGUCGAGCGAACAGACGAGGAGCUUGCUCCUCUGACGUUAGCGGCGGACGGGUGAGUAACACGUGGAUAACCUACCUAUAAGACUGGGAUAACUUCGGGAAACCGGAGCUAAUACCGGAUAAUAUAUUGAACCGCAUGGUUCAAUAGUGAAAGACGGUUUUGCUGUCACUUAUAGAUGGAUCCGCGCCGCAUUAGCUAGUUGGUAAGGUAACGGCUUACCAAGGCAACGAUGCGUAGCCGACCUGAGAGGGUGAUCGGCCACACUGGAAAUGAGACAAGGUCCAGAAUCCUACGGGAGGCAGCAGUAGGGAAUCUUCCGCAAUGGGCGAAAGCCUGACGGAGCAAAGCCGCGUGAGGGAUGAAGGUCUUCGGAUCGGAAAACUCUGUUAUUAGGGAAGAACAAAUGUGUAAGUAACUAUGCACGUCUUGACGGUACCUAAUCAGAAAGCCACGGCUAACUACGUG
Molecule: ribosomal RNA, 497 nt
Filed under: uncultured bacterium
Lineage: Bacteria
Description: partial 16S ribosomal RNA
Rfam family: Bacterial small subunit ribosomal RNA
Source: RNAcentral